This 468-nucleotide ribosomal RNA is filed under the name uncultured bacterium. RNAcentral's name for it is "partial 16S ribosomal RNA". It matches the Rfam family "Bacterial small subunit ribosomal RNA", at positions 28 to 507 of the family's 1533-position model. The record is from RNAcentral.
GACGAACGCUGGCGGCGUGCUUAACACAUGCAAGUCGAACGGAAAGGCCCUGCUUUUGUGGGGUGCUCGAGUGGCGAACGGGUGAGUAACACGUGAGUAACCUGCCCUUGACUUUGGGAUAAAUUCAGGAAACUGGGGCUAAUACCGGAUAGGAGCUCCUGCUGCAUGGUGGGGGUUGGAAAGUUUCGGCGGUUGGGGAUGGACUCGCGGCUUAUCCGCUUGUUGGGGGGGUAGUGGCUUACCAAGGGUUUGACGGGUAGCCGGCCUGAGAGGGUGACCGGCCACAUUGGGACUGAGAUACGGCCCAGACUCCUACGGGAGGCAGCAGUGGGGAAUCUUGCACAAUGGGCGGAAGCCUGAUGCAGCAACGCCGCGUGCGGGAUGACGGCCUUCGGGUUGUAAACCGCUUUCGCCUGUGACGAAGCGUGAGUGACGGUAAUGGGUAAAGAAGCACCGGCUAACUACGUG